Molecule: long non-coding RNA, 367 nt
Filed under: Homo sapiens (human)
Lineage: Eukaryota; Metazoa; Chordata; Mammalia; Primates; Hominidae
Description: HSALNT0057120
Source: RNAcentral
CAAGAUCAAGGGGAAAAAUAAUAUUUCAAGCCUAAAAGGAGAAUCUAGUGCAAAAGAUUAUUAAGCUUGUCUAGCAGAAAUAUCAGAAAGCUUGUCUUCUGAAAUCUUCUGAGAAAGAUAUAAGAAAUUAUAAGCAUAAUGACUACAGCAGGAUUGUAAAACUGAGGACUGUCUUUCACAGGGUUUUUGGUGAGAAGCAGUCUGAAAUCACAGCUAAUGCAAGGACCCAUGCUGAGCACAACCACCUUCCUGCUGCUGAGAGUGGAUCACAGGGCUACCAGUAGAGAACUUGGUUUGUCUCACUCUGCAAAGGUUUUCUUCUUCCAAGUUUAAUGUCUCAAAUCUCAAAUCAUCUGCUAAUAGUAAU